GAAUUUAAUAUAAUUUUUUUAUUAAUAUAAUGAAUUAAUUAUAUUUGAUUGGGGGGAUUAUUAAAUUUAAAAAACUUUAAUGUAAAAAACUUAAAUUAAAGAAAAAAAAAUAAAUAAUUGAAUAAUUUAAAUUAUUUAAGAAUUAAUUACCUUAGGGAUAACAGCAUAAUAAUUUUUUUUAGAUCUUAUAUAAAAAAUUGUUUAU
This 205-nucleotide ribosomal RNA is filed under the name Neoponera verenae. RNAcentral describes it as "partial large subunit ribosomal RNA". Lineage: Eukaryota; Metazoa; Arthropoda; Insecta; Hymenoptera; Formicidae. The record is from RNAcentral.